This is a non-coding RNA of Microcebus murinus (gray mouse lemur), 2549 nucleotides long. Lineage: Eukaryota; Metazoa; Chordata; Mammalia; Primates; Cheirogaleidae. The record is from RefSeq and is a predicted model, not a curated record.
GGCAGCAGCCAUUUUGUAGCAUGUAGAAUGAAAUUUGUUGGUCUGUUGAUUCAUGGUGUCGGGGUGAAAACAGUAGCUAGGCCUGGCACUCCCUUUCCGUGGACCUUCCUGCAGUUUCUCUGACCCCUGGGCCAGAUGUUUACUUUUUUAGCAACUGACACAGGGCCUCGGCUUCUGCUGGAUGACCUCGUCAUCAAGGUCAGACCUGGACACCUACAAGAAAAAGUGGGGUGACACGGCAUUUUGAGGACAAGUGCACAUUCACAGCCCACCUUGCAGUGGAGGAAGAUGAUAUUAGUAUAGUCUGAGCUCAGAUAACAACUGCAGCAAAAAGACCUUCACCAACCAUAUAUCUCCUCUCCUAGCCCAUAAAAGCAUGGAGGGAGAGGAACAUGAUUUUAUCAAACUCCACAACGAGGAUGUCAAGGAGGGGAGGAGCCCCUGCCACCAGCCUUACAGCUGCCACAGAGAAACCCAUCAGCAUUCCAGUCUGCCUCAGCCUGGGCCACAAGGCUCCAAAACCACGAUGGUUAAUGAUGUCCCAGACAACCAGAUACUACAUCAUCAUAGGUCCUGGCACCUUGAGGGGCGCAUGGGGGCAAAUACCUAUACCAUCCCCACUCACAGAAUGUUUCAUGCCCAAGUCUCGGAGAAUUCAGUUAUCUCUGGUUUUAGCUACUUCCAGAUGAACCCAAACUCAUUUUUUACCCUCGUUAGGUUUCAGUUAUCCAAAAUAACAGCCUGUUCAUUCCCUUCAGUGUUGAGAGAAACCCCUAGGGAAUGAUACCUUCUGCUUCCGUCAUGCAAGCUUAUCAGUCAUGAUCCAGAAAGAAGACAGAAAUUACACCAGUUAGUUUAACAGAGAGAAUGUCAUAUAAAGGGCUGCUAGCCCAAUACUGGACAACUGAAAAGGCGAAAAAGGAAUAGCGAGGUAUCUCAGAGAUAGCAGGCCCAGUAUGCAGCGUUCCCCUGAGGACUGAGGCACUCGAGAAAGGGGUUGGAAUUAUCGAAACUCAGCACUUUGGAGAACGGGCACCACAGACUGGAAUUCAGACCUCUGAGGAGGGGAGCUGCUCAGAUAUACUGGUGCCUCAGAAACCUGGGAGCGGGUCCCUGGGAGCUGAGACCCAGACCUGUGAGGACAGCCCGGGAGGUUCCCCUGUGACUGAGGCUCCACCUCUGAGAGUGCAUGAUAAGGCUGGUCCUUGGAGUUUUAGUAAAUCAGUUCAUUGGAAUCAACUGAUGUUUCUGGAAGGAGCCUCUGCUGCCACGCAGAGGAGUGUGGCUAAGGUGAUGCCAUCAAAAACAGAAAGCAAACAGGAAGGAGAGCACGUCCUCUUCCUCCUCCGGCCUUGCAGUGUCUCUCCAGUUUCCAACUGGCAGAGCCUACAGGAACCAAGCAGCGAAGAAAGGUUGCAGAGUCACAGCGUCACAAAACAGAAAAUCAGAGAAGACGAGACCAUGCUCAGGCUAGCCUGCUGGAAGAUGAGACGUGUGGAGCAGAGCGGAGUCAGCUCAGGUGACCCAGCCGAGGCCCCAGACAUUUGCGGAAGCCCAGCCAAGAUCAGCCCAGCCACCUGGCAACCCCACAGCCGAUGGCAGGUGCAUGAGGAGCCCUCCCAAGCCCAGUUCCAAUCAUCAGAACUGCCCAGCUGACAGCUGACCCACAGACUGUGAGCGAAACUAACAGUUUGUUCCUGCAAGCUCCUGAGGUUUUGUGGCUGUGUGUUACACAACAUUAUUGUGGCAAUAGGUAACAGAUACAGAUGUGCAAGUAGAGAUGUCAAGUAGGCAGUUGGAUACGCAUGUCUGAAGGUGUGAGGAGGGCGCUCCGUGGCUAGCUUGUGCUCCAGUGCAGCCUUCGGGAAUUGGAAGAAAAGGCGAGUGGCAACAGGCAGAUGAGACGUGCUCUUUAUUGUCGGGGUAUACAGCAGCGGCGAAAAGCAUGGCUGAGAACAUGGCGAGCGCUUAUACAUGGCCCUGAACAGUAGUGGCACCACGCCAUGGGAAAGCGCGAUCACAUGGCUUCACACAGGAGAUAACACCUUGGUUACACGAGUGUGUGGACUCACGCCUCCCCGGAUAGCCAGCUAACCAGCGGGGCUGGCCUGGAAAAAACACUGCAGCAGUCGUCUUAGUUUGGCCUAAGAAACCUGUUGCCUAUACAAACGCCAUUUCCCUUACAGGUCAGAGAAGUCCAAGCUGGAGGAAAUUUCGAGAGCCGUCAGCAUGGUAGCGGGCACUGUCUGGGGCUCCACCCAGAUCCCCUUGAAUACUGGUUUUUCUUUUUGUAGAGCCUUUUGCUUCUAACACCUCCAGCACCUGCAACUUCCUUGGCGAACUGCUCUUAGGCUACUGGAGCCCCUUUGCCCCCGCAGCCAGAGAGCAAGAAACGCCUGGAUACUAACGUCCCCCCAGGACAGUCCUUGACCGAUGACAGACACAGGCAUGGGGUGGGGUGGGCAGGGUGUAUGCAAGCCCAGCUCCCUUGUCUCAGAAAAGCUCUGAAUCUGUUGGUCAUAAAUAAAUGAGAAGGAAAAAAUUUUUUU